UACGUAGGGGGCAAGCGCUGUCCGGAAUCAUUGGGCGUAAAGAGCGCGUAGGCGGUCCGGUAAGUCCGCUCUGAAAGUCCGGGGCUCAACCCCGGGAGGCGGGCGGAUACUGUCGGGCUAGAGUCCGGAAGAGGCGAGUGGAAUUCCUGGUGUAGCGGUGAAAUGCGCAGAUAUCAGGAGGAACACCAAUUGCGAAGGCAGCUCGCUGGGACGUUACUGACGCUGAGACGCGAAAGCGUGGGGAGCAAACAGG
RNAcentral lists this ribosomal RNA (253 nucleotides) under uncultured bacterium. RNAcentral's name for it is "partial 16S ribosomal RNA". It matches the Rfam family "Bacterial small subunit ribosomal RNA", at positions 524 to 776 of the family's 1533-position model. The record is from RNAcentral.